UUGUGGAUCAUUUUUGGUCUAUAAAAUUAUCUCCAUCUAUCAAUUUCAGAAUAAUAGGUGAGAACACCUUAAAUAAAAUGCUCCGCUGGGCGCAGCUUGAUACGACCGCAGAGGUUAAACCCUGAACAGUUGGGGCAAAAGGUUUCUGACACAGAAUAACUGUAGUCAAAGAACUUAGAAUUGGUUAUUUGAUUUGAAUUUAUAUUCAACUUUUUGCUUUUGUGCAAUACACUGUGCCUGUGCGAAUUGACCCCCCA
Mytilus californianus (California mussel) is the source of this 257-nucleotide long non-coding RNA. RefSeq lists it as uncharacterized. The transcript has 2 exons. Lineage: Eukaryota; Metazoa; Mollusca; Bivalvia; Mytilida; Mytilidae. The record is from RefSeq and is a predicted model, not a curated record.